GAUUAACGCUGGCGGCGCACAUAAGACAUGCAAGUCGAACGGAAGUCGUUAUAACUCAGAACGAAGAUUUAUCUGAGGGACGAGAUAUAACAAUGGCUUUAGUGGCGGACUGGUGAGUAACACGUAAGAAACCUGCCUAUUAGAGGGGAAUAACAACGAGAAAUCGUUGCUAAUACCGCAUAAGCUAGUAGUACCGCAUGGUACAGCUAGAAAAGGAGAAAUCCGCUAAUAGAUGGUCUUGCGUCCGAUUAGCUAAUUGGUGGGGUAACGGCCUACCAAGGCAACGAUCGGUAGCCGAGCUGAGAGGCUCAACGGCCACAUUGGGACUGAGAUACGGCCCAGACUCCUACGGGAGGCAGCAGUCGGGAAUAUUGCGCAAUGGAGGAAACUCUGACGCAGUGACGCCGCGUAUAGGAAGAAGGUUUUCGGAUUGUAAACUAUUUUAGACAGGGAAGAAAUUGACAGUACCUGUAGAAUAAGCUC
This 483-nucleotide ribosomal RNA is filed under the name uncultured bacterium. Its description in RNAcentral is "bacterial SSU rRNA". It matches the Rfam family "Bacterial small subunit ribosomal RNA", at positions 28 to 493 of the family's 1533-position model. The record is from RNAcentral.